RNAcentral lists this signal recognition particle RNA (99 nucleotides) under Candidatus Cryptobacteroides intestinavium. Its description in RNAcentral is "Bacteroidales small SRP". It matches the Rfam family "Bacteroidales small SRP", at positions 8 to 103 of the family's 107-position model. From Rfam's summary of the family: The non-coding component of the signal recognition particle in Bacteroides The record is from RNAcentral. Lineage: Bacteria; Pseudomonadati; Bacteroidota; Bacteroidia; Bacteroidales.
AAGGGUAAGUCAUACACGACCAGCUCCUGCUGAAUCCCCCAGGACCGGAAGGUAGCAAGGGUAGGUGGUUGUAGCGGUGCGAUGUAUUCAGCUUACCCU